CUGAUGCGUUGUUGGGUAGGGGAGCGUUCUGUAAGCCUGUGAAGGUGUGUCGUGAGGCAUGCUGGAGGUAUCAGAAGUGCGAAUGCUGACAUAAGUAACGAUAAAGCGGGUGAAAAGCCCGCUCGCCGGAAGACCAAGGGUUCCUGUCCAACGUUAAUCGGGGCAGGGUGAGUCGACCCCUAAGGCGAGGCCGAAAGGCGUAGUCGAUGGGAAACGGGUUAAUAUUCCCGUACUUGGUGUUACUGCGAAGGGGGGACGGAGAAGGCUAUGUUGGCCGGGCGACGGUUGUCCCGGUUUAAGUGUGUAGGUGUGUGUUCCAGGUAAAUCCGGUUCACUUUAACACUGAGGCGUGAUGACGAGGCACUACGGUGCUGAAGCAACAAAUGCCCUGCUUCCAGGAAAAGCCUCUAAGCAUCAGGUAACAUCAAAUCGUACCCCAAACCGACACAGGUGGUCAGGUAGAGAAUACCAAGGCGCUUGAGAGAACUCGGGUGAAGGAACUAGGCAAAAUGGUGCCGUAACUUCGGGAGAAGGCACGCUGACAUGUAGGUGAAGUGAUUUACUCAUGGAGCUGAAGUCAGUCGAAGAUACCAGCUGGCUGCAACUGUUUAUUAAAAACACAGCACUGUGCAAACACGAAAGUGGACGUAUACGGUGUGACGCCUGCCCGGUGCCGGAAGGUUAAUUGAUGGGGUCAGCGCAAGCGAAGCUCCUGAUCGAAGCCCCGGUAAACGGCGGCCGUAACUAUAACGGUCCUAAGGUAGCGAAAUUCCUUGUCGGGUAAGUUCCGACCUGCACGAAUGGCGUAAUGAUGGCCAGGCUGUCUCCACCCGAGACUCAGUGAAAUUGAACUCGCUGUGAAGAUGCAGUGUACCCGCGGCAAGACGGAAAGACCCCGUGAACCUUUACUAUAGCUUGACACUGAACAUUGAGCCUUGAUGUGUAG
Molecule: ribosomal RNA, 946 nt
Filed under: Salmonella enterica subsp. enterica serovar Havana
Lineage: Bacteria; Pseudomonadati; Pseudomonadota; Gammaproteobacteria; Enterobacterales; Enterobacteriaceae
Description: partial 23S ribosomal RNA
Rfam family: Bacterial large subunit ribosomal RNA
Source: RNAcentral